Long non-coding RNA from Amblyraja radiata (thorny skate), 70 nucleotides. RefSeq lists it as uncharacterized. The transcript is spliced from 3 exons. The record is from RefSeq and is a predicted model, not a curated record. Lineage: Eukaryota; Metazoa; Chordata; Chondrichthyes; Rajiformes; Rajidae.
AAUUCUAAUGUCCACAAUGGGGUAGAGGUGAAUCGAGUAGUAACCUGGCUUGUGGAAGGACAGUUCAGAA